CAGAGAGUAGUUUAAUGAAAAUGCUAGCUUUGGGGGCUAGUGACGGAGGAUCGUAUCUUCUCUUUCUGA
Molecule: transfer RNA, 69 nt
Filed under: Trichonotus elegans (long-rayed sand-diver)
Lineage: Eukaryota; Metazoa; Chordata; Actinopteri; Gobiiformes; Trichonotidae
Also listed under: 1 other name
Description: tRNA-Pro
Rfam family: tRNA
About the family: Transfer RNA (tRNA) molecules are approximately 80 nucleotides in length. Their secondary structure includes four short double-helical elements and three loops (D, anti-codon, and T loops). Further hydrogen bonds mediate the characteristic L-shaped molecular structure. tRNAs have two regions of fundamental functional importance: the anti-codon, which is responsible for specific mRNA codon recognition, and the 3' end, to which the tRNAs corresponding amino acid is attached (by aminoacyl-tRNA synthetases). tRNAs cope with the degeneracy of the genetic code in two manners: having more than one tRNA (with a specific anti-codon) for a particular amino acid; and 'wobble' base-pairing, i.e. permitting non-standard base-pairing at the 3rd anti-codon position.
Source: RNAcentral